This 254-nucleotide ribosomal RNA is filed under the name uncultured bacterium. RNAcentral's name for it is "partial 16S ribosomal RNA". It matches the Rfam family "Bacterial small subunit ribosomal RNA", at positions 524 to 776 of the family's 1533-position model. The record is from RNAcentral.
UACGUAGGGUGCGAGCGUUGUCCGGAAUUACUGGGCGUAAAGAGCUCGUAGGCGGUUUGUCGCGUCGUCCGUGAAAACUUGGGGCUCAACCCCAAGCUUGCGGGCGAUACGGGCAGACUUGAGUACUGCAGGGGAGACUGGAAUUCCUGGUGUAGCGGUGAAAUGCGCAGAUAUCAGGAGGAACACCGGUGGCGAAGGCGGGUCUCGUGGGCAGUAACUGACGCUGAGGAGCGAAAGCGUGGGUAGCAAACAGG